UUGCGCAAUGGGGGAAACCCUGAUGCAGCAACGCCGCGUGAGUGAUGAAGGCCUUCGGGUUGUAAAGCUCUGUCAGUGGGGACGAAAUGCAGGGGUGCUAAUAACAUCGUCGCUGGUCGGUACGUUCCAAGAAAGCACGGGCUAACUACGUGCCAGCAGCCGCGGUAAUAUGCUGGGCGCGAACGUUGCUCGGGCUGAUUUGUCGUAAAGCGGGGGUAGGCGGUUUGGUAAGUGUGAUGUGAAAGCCCCGGGCUCAACCUGGGGGGUGCAUUUGAAACUGGCGGUCUAGAGUGCGGGAGAGGGGAGUGGAAUUCCUAGUGUAGCGGUGAAAUGCGUAGAGAUUAGGAGGAACACCGGUGGCGAAGGCGGCUAUCUGGACUGUAACUGACGCUGAGGCGCGAAAGCGUGGGGAGCAAACAG
This 420-nucleotide ribosomal RNA is filed under the name uncultured bacterium. RNAcentral's name for it is "bacterial SSU rRNA". It matches the Rfam family "Bacterial small subunit ribosomal RNA", at positions 364 to 775 of the family's 1533-position model. The record is from RNAcentral.